Molecule: ribosomal RNA, 432 nt
Filed under: uncultured eukaryote
Lineage: Eukaryota
Description: bacterial SSU rRNA
Rfam family: Eukaryotic small subunit ribosomal RNA
Source: RNAcentral
CAGUAGCGUAUAUUAAAGUUGUUGCAGUUAAAAAGCUCGUAGUUGGAUUUCUGGUACGCUGCGCCUGGCCCGCCCACGUUAGUGGUGUGAGUGUCGGUGCGCGGUUGCCAUCCUUCUAGAGAACGUGUCUACCUUUAAUUAGGCCGGGCUACGGGAUCUAGAUCAUUUACUUUGAAAAAAUUAGAGUGUUUAAAGCAGGCUUUUGCUAUGAAUACAUUAGCAUGGAAUAAUAAUAUAGGACUUGCGUGGUCUAUUUUGUUGGUUUGCACACGCAAGUAAUGAUUAAUAGGGACAGUUGGGGAUAUUCAUAUUUGAGCGUCAGAGGUGAAAUUCUUGGAUCGCUGAAAGAUGAGCUUAGGCGAAAGCAUUUAUCAAAGAUGUUUUCAUUAUUCAAGAACGAAAGUUAGGGGAUCGAAGAUGAUUAGAUACCAU